RNAcentral lists this ribosomal RNA (469 nucleotides) under uncultured bacterium. RNAcentral's name for it is "partial 16S ribosomal RNA". It matches the Rfam family "Bacterial small subunit ribosomal RNA", at positions 28 to 507 of the family's 1533-position model. The record is from RNAcentral.
GACGAACGCUGGCGGCGUGCUUAACACAUGCAAGUCGAACGGUGAAGCGAGUGCUUGCACUCGUGGAUCAGUGGCGAACGGGUGAGUAACACGUGAGUAACCUGCCCAUCACUCUGGGAUAAGCACUGGAAACGGUGUCUAAUACUGGAUACGACCAACCCUUGCAUGGGGUGUUGGUGGAAAGAUUUAUCGGUGAUGGAUGGACUCGCGGCCUAUCAGCUCGUUGGCGGGGUAAUGGCGCACCAAGGCGACGACGGGUAGCCGCCAUGAGAGGGUGACCGGCCACACGGGGACUGAGACACGGCCCAGACUCCUACGGGAGGCAGCAGUGGAGAAUAUUGCACAAUGGGCGAAAGCCUGAUGCAGCGACGCCGCGUGAGGGAUGACGGCCUUCGGGUUGUAAACCUCUUUCAGCAGGGAAGAAGCGAAAGUGACGGUACCUGCAGAAGAAGCACCGGCUAACUACGUG